UACGGAGGGUGCAAGCGUUAUCCGGAUUCACUGGGUUUAAAGGGUGCGUAGGCGGGUUGGUAAGUCCGUGGUGAAAUCCCCAAGCUUAACUUGGGAACUGCCGUGGAUACUAUCAAUCUUGAAUAUCGUGGAGGUAAGCGGAAUAUGUCAUGUAGCGGUGAAAUGCUUAGAUAUGACAUAGAACACCAAUUGCGUAGGCAGCUUACUACACGAUCAUUGACGCUGAGGAGCGAAAGCGUGGGGAGCAAACAGG
This 253-nucleotide ribosomal RNA is filed under the name uncultured bacterium. Its description in RNAcentral is "partial 16S ribosomal RNA". It matches the Rfam family "Bacterial small subunit ribosomal RNA", at positions 524 to 776 of the family's 1533-position model. The record is from RNAcentral.